Molecule: ribosomal RNA, 263 nt
Filed under: uncultured prokaryote
Description: partial 16S ribosomal RNA
Rfam family: Bacterial small subunit ribosomal RNA
Source: RNAcentral
UACGUAGGUGGCAAGCGUUAUCCGGAAUUAUUGGGCGUAAAGAGCGCGCAGGUGGUUGAUUAAGUCUGAUGUGAAAGCCCACGGCUUAACCGUGGAGGGUCAUUGGAAACUGGUCGACUUGAGUGCAGAAGAGGGAAGUGGAAUUCCAUGUGUAGCGGUGAAAUGCGUAGAUAUACGGAGGAACACCAGUGGCGAAGGCGGAUUGCUGGACAUUAACUGACGCUGAGGCGCGAAAGCGUGGGGAGCAAACAGGAUUAGAUACU